GCUACCCGCUGACGAGCGGCGGACGGGUGAGUAAUGCUUAGGAAUCUGCCCAGUAGUGGGGGAUAGCCCGGGGAAACCCGGAUUAAUACCGCAUACGUCCUACGGGAGAAAGCAGGGGAUCUUCGGACCUUGCGCUAUUGGAUGAGCCUAAGUCGGAUUAGCUAGUUGGUGGGGUAAAGGCCUACCAAGGCGACGAUCCGUAGCUGGUCUGAGAGGAUGAUCAGCCACAUCGGGACUGAGACACGGCCCGAACUCCUACGGGAGGCAGCAGUGGGGAAUAUUGGACAAUGGGGGCAACCCUGAUCCAGCCAUGCCGCGUGUGUGAAGAAGGCUUUCGGGUUGUAAAGCACUUUCAGUAGGGAGGAAAACCUUAUGGCUAAUACCCAUGAGGCUUGACGUUACCUACAGAAGAAGCACCGGCUAACUCCGUGCCAGCAGCCGCGGUAAUACGGAGGGUGCAAGCGUUAAUCGGAAUUACUGGGCGUAAAGCGCGCGUAGGUGGUUUGGUAAGCGAGAUGUGAAAGCCCCGGGCUUAACCUGGGAACGGCAUUUCGAACUGUCAGACUAGAGUGUGGUAGAGGGUAGUGGAAUUUCCUGUGU
This 600-nucleotide ribosomal RNA is filed under the name Marinobacter nauticus. RNAcentral describes it as "bacterial SSU rRNA". It matches the Rfam family "Bacterial small subunit ribosomal RNA", at positions 79 to 676 of the family's 1533-position model. The record is from RNAcentral. Lineage: Bacteria; Pseudomonadati; Pseudomonadota; Gammaproteobacteria; Pseudomonadales; Marinobacteraceae.